GAUGAACGCUGGCGGCAUGCCUAACACAUGCAAGUCGAUCGGUAAGGCUCUUCGGAGUACACGAGAGGCGGACGGCUGAGUAACGCGUAGGAACACACCCUGCAGUGAGGGAUAAGACACCGAAAGGUGUUCUAAUACCGCAUACGGUCUUCGGAUUAAAGCAUUUAUGCGCUGAAGGAGUGGCCUGCGUCAUAUUAGAUAGUUGGUGAGGUAAUGGCUCACCAAGUCGAUGAUGUGUAGCUGGUCUGAGAGGAUGAUCAGCCAGACUGGAACUGAGACACGGUCCAGACUCCUACGGGAGGCAGAAGUGAGGAAUAUUUCACAAUGAGCGAAAGCUUGAUGGAGCAAUGCAGCGUGCAGGAUGAAGGCCCUCGGGUUGUAAACUGAUUUUAUAAGAGAAGAUUAUGACGGUAACUUAUGAAUAAGGGACGGCUAACUACGUG
Molecule: ribosomal RNA, 443 nt
Filed under: uncultured bacterium
Lineage: Bacteria
Description: partial 16S ribosomal RNA
Rfam family: Bacterial small subunit ribosomal RNA
Source: RNAcentral